AGCGAACGCUGGCGGCAUGCUUAACACAUGCGAGUCGCACGGGCAGGGGAAACUCUGUCAGUGGCGGACGGGUGAGUAACGCGUAGGUAUCUAUCCAAGGGUGGGGACAACCGCGGGAAACUGCGGCUAAUACCGCAUGACGAGCCAUUCUGAGAGGGAUGGUUCCAAAGGCUGCAAGGUCGCCUAUGGAGGAGCCUGCGUCCGAUUAGCUAGUUGGUGGGGUAAAGGCCUACCAAGGCAUCGAUCGGUAGCUGGUCUGAGAGGAUGAUCAGCCACACUGGGACUGAGACACGGCCCAGACUCCUACGGGAGGCAGCAGUGGGGAAUAUUGGACAAUGGGCGCAAGCCUGAUCCAGCAAUGCCGCGUGUGUGAAGAAGGUCUUCGGAUUGUAAAGCACUUUCGACGGGGACG
This 412-nucleotide ribosomal RNA is filed under the name uncultured bacterium. RNAcentral describes it as "bacterial SSU rRNA". It matches the Rfam family "Bacterial small subunit ribosomal RNA", at positions 29 to 447 of the family's 1533-position model. The record is from RNAcentral.